UAUCUCUGUAGAGUCUGCAUAUCAAUAAGCGGAGGAAAAGAAACUAACAAGGAUUCCCUUAGUAACGGCGAGUGAAGCGGGAAGAGCUCAAAUUUGAAAUCUUCAAGGUUCUACCUUGACGAAUUGUAGUUUAUAGAAGUGUUUUCUGUUAGAUGAGUAGGCAAAAGUUCCUUGGAAUAGGGACAUCAUAGAGGGUGAGAAUCCCGUAUUUGACUAUUCCUUCUAGCGUUGUGAUACACUUUCAAAGAGUCGGAUUGUUUGGGUAAUGCAGUCCAAAAUGGGUGGUAAAUUUCAUCUAAAGCUAAAUAUUGGCGAGAGACCGAUAGCGAACAAGUACCGUGAGGGAAAGAUGAAAAGAACUUUGAAAGAGAGUUAAACAGUACGUGAAAUUGUCAAAAGGGAAGCGUUUGACACCAGUGUUGUUUUUCCGAAAAUCAAUUACAAAUUGCUUGAUUUGCAGGUUGUAUUGACCUUAUCAGCUUUCUUCACUUUGUUUUCGAGGUCUUUCUUGAUGCACUUUUCGGUUAACAAGUCAACAUCAAUUUCUUUGUUGUAAAAGAGUAUUCGGAAGGUGGCUUUCUUUUCGGAGAAAGUGUUUAUAGCCCUAUACUUCUACAAUCGGAGAGAUUGAGGUCUGCAGCGUAGAUCCUUCGGGGUUAGAUACACUUGUGCUAAGUUGUAGCUUUUCAUAGACAACUUGUUGACUAUGUUUAGUCAUGCGGCUUACUCGCUUGUGCUAUUUUACCUACGCUUAGGAUGUUGACUGAUAUGUAGUCGU
RNAcentral lists this ribosomal RNA (778 nucleotides) under uncultured Neocallimastigales. RNAcentral's name for it is "partial large subunit ribosomal RNA". It matches the Rfam family "Eukaryotic large subunit ribosomal RNA", at positions 24 to 643 of the family's 3401-position model. Lineage: Eukaryota; Fungi; Neocallimastigomycota; Neocallimastigomycetes; Neocallimastigales. The record is from RNAcentral.